AUUGAACGCUGGCGGAAUGCUUUACACAUGCAAGUCGAACGGCAGCACGGGUGCUUGCACCUGGUGGCGGGUGGCGAACGGGUGAGUAAUACAUCGGAACGUACCCAGUCGUGGGGGAUAACGUAGCGAAAGUUACGCUAAUACCGCAUACGUCCUGAGGGAGAAAGCGGGGGACCGUAAGGCCUCGCGCGAUUGGAGCGGCCGAUGGCGGAUUAGCUAGUUGGUGGGGUAAAGGCCUACCAAGGCGACGAUCCGUAGCGGGUCUGAGAGGACGGCCCGCCACACUGGAACUGAGACACGGUCCAGACUCCUACGGGAGGCAGCAGUGGGGAAUUUUGGACAAUGGGCGAAAGCCUGAUCCAGCCAUUCCGCGUGAGUGAAGAAGGCCUUCGGGUUGUAAAGCUCUUUCGGCAGGGAAGAAACGGCUUAGGAUAAUACCCCGGGCUAAUGACGGUACCUGAAGAAGAAGCACCGGCUAACUACGUGCCAGCAGCCGCGGUAA
Molecule: ribosomal RNA, 502 nt
Filed under: uncultured bacterium
Lineage: Bacteria
Description: partial 16S ribosomal RNA
Rfam family: Bacterial small subunit ribosomal RNA
Source: RNAcentral